This is a long non-coding RNA of Alnus glutinosa, 383 nucleotides long. RefSeq lists it as uncharacterized. Lineage: Eukaryota; Viridiplantae; Streptophyta; Magnoliopsida; Fagales; Betulaceae. The record is from RefSeq and is a predicted model, not a curated record. The transcript has 3 exons.
AAUGAAGCGGCUGCGGGAGCAGAAUGACAUCCCCCAUAGUCUGGGGUCCAAAAGUUAUGCCAGAUUUAAUCACGAUGAGGCAUCUAUAUCUGGCACGCCCCCCACUCGCGCCGAGUCUUUUGUGAAGACGCACACAAGGAAAGACGGCACUUACCUGAACGAGCGGACACGGGACCUAUGCGAGCGGAUGACACAGAGUUUGUCCACUGAUCCUGCUGCCUCGGACCCCGUCUCAUCAGAUACGGUGCGUUGGGCACCUGGCGACGCGUACGAGCAAGCGGUUGGGCGACCCGAGUAUGCGGGUAGGGUUCGGCAGGUUGGGCCGAACGUUACUCCUGUUCGCGGGACUUGUUUCUCGUAUAGGGACCGCACACGGGGGGGAC